RNAcentral lists this ribosomal RNA (232 nucleotides) under uncultured bacterium. Its description in RNAcentral is "partial 16S ribosomal RNA". It matches the Rfam family "Bacterial small subunit ribosomal RNA", at positions 103 to 334 of the family's 1533-position model. The record is from RNAcentral.
CGGGUGCGAACACGUACACAACCCUUCCUAAGGGUAGGGGAAUAGCCCAGAAGUAAUUUGGAUUAUACCCCGUAACAUAUAGAGUAGGCAUCUUCUUUAUAUUAUAGCUUCGGCGCUUAUUGACGGGUGUGCGUCUGAUUAGGUAGUUGGCGGGGUAACGGCCCACCAAGCCUACGAUCAGUAGCUGAUGUGAGAGCAUGAUCAGCCACACGGGCACUGAGACACGGGCCCG